This is a non-coding RNA of Coturnix japonica (Japanese quail), 2853 nucleotides long. The record is from RefSeq and is a predicted model, not a curated record. Lineage: Eukaryota; Metazoa; Chordata; Aves; Galliformes; Phasianidae.
GAGGACCUCUGAGAUCUGCUGAUCAUAGUGCACUAAUGAAAAGGCAGCCCUGUCACAAGGUACCUUGAGGAUUCAGCAGAGAUGGGAUCACAUCCCUAUCAGGCCAAGUGGCAGCCUGGGAAGCUCACAUAUGCACCCCUUGCAUUUGUGAGAUAAAUGUGUCAGCAGUACAGCCUUCACUUCUAGUGAACCAGUGAGAGCACUUAAUUUAACCUGGUGUGUCAGUAACUGAGCUGCUGUUGAGUGAUGCAGGCUUUACCCCUUUCCAGAGCCGAAUCCCCCAUGCCCACCCACACUUUCCAGCCCAUGGAGCCAUAUAGCCGUGCCCAGGCCAUAGCAUAGCAUAGCAGAGCCAGUGCCACUGGUCGCCCGUCAUCAUGCUGUAGGUGCUUGCCUGCUGGAGAGGUACCUGUAGCUUUCUCCUCCAACCUAAGGAGAUGAAGUCUUGCAUGUUUUCAACUUCUACAUUACAACAAACACCCAUGCCUUCCUUAUGGAGCCACCCUCUAGCCAUUGUGGCUAACAAAAGCAACAAAUAAAGAGGAGUCAUUGCUUUGCCUGUUCAUGUACUCCUCCUGUCCUGGCUGUGUUUCCUCUUUCCAGCAAACCUCAUUUCCAUGCUUUGAUCUGUGGAUGCUACUUACAUGUUACGAUUGCUGCAGCCCAUGAGCCACUGACACAGAAGGUUCACUGUUAGAAAAGAAUUUGAAGGAAAAGAAGGUAACUGCUUAGUAACAACACUAAAAAGGUCAUAAUUAAUGAUUUGGUUGUAAAAGUGAAAAGCUGAAGCUCAAAAUGUACUAAAUAGUUUAUUGUUAAAAAGGGAAACUUCAUCUGUGGCAACAUUUUUAAGCAGGUGAGGUGGAGCUUACCAAUGAAAGGGAAGCUUUCUUUCUUCAGUGUUCAGCUUAGGUGUCAAAACAUGUUUUAAGCGAAUUUACUUCCACUGGUAAAGGCAGCCAAUUUUGUUUGUUUGUGAGCUGUCUCUGAUUGUUUUACUUAGUUUCUCUGGAAAUAAACCAAAGCAUUGGUUUUGAUUCACAGAUCCUUACACUCAAAGAGGAGUGACACAAGCAUUGGCUCUGAGCUGCAGCACAACGCAAGCCACACUCUUUCACUGCUCCAAGUUAAGUGGUGUGUGUGGUUAAGAUAGAAUAAAUGUUUUAGAAAAAUAAUCAAAGUUGUCUUAAAUAGUCCGUGUGAUGUAAUGAAGUGGUCCUGAUGAUUUACCAUCACAGUUAGAAGACAUAUUUUAUUUCCAGGAUCUUCUUCCAGGAUCUUUCUAACACAUACAGGAAUGACAAGAGAUACAGAGUCACAAGAACAGGUAAUAAACACUGGAAAUUAUGCAGAGCACAAGAUCUAGAAGAAAAGGGAGGCAAAGGAAAAUCUUGCCACUCCAUCUGAUGAGACGUUGCUUGUUACAGUACACAGUGCACUCCAGAAGUUCCUUUGUGCCUAUUUGCCUCCUACAGAACCCCCACCAAGGUGCCUUCAGCAAAAGCAGACUACCCCCUGAAUCCUGCUCAGACUUUGGUGAGAGAUGGAGCUAAGCUGGGCUGUCAAGACCAAGAUCUGACAUCUUUUGCACUGGGACUGACUGUUGAUGAGCCAUGUCGUUAACACAGUGCCUUUUGUUGUGAUAAAUGGCUCAUGGCAGGGAAGCUAGCUGAGAUGACGGAUCCUCUUGCAACCUAUACAACAAGAAGACUGGUACAAAGCUUUUGAAAUUGUAUCUGAGUGGAACUGUUAUGAAAAUUGUAUGAAGUUGUUAUAAAAAUGUGUAAAUAAAUAUGUUUAGAUAUGGUCAGAGAAAAGAAAGAACAGCACAAUGCCCAUCUGACUGGGAAUAUAAAAUAAUGUCCACAAAGAGAUUAGGUUGUCUGUAUAAAAAUACUGUGCAGGUUAUACAUUCAUACAACUUGGGCAGAUUUUACUGCAGUAAAAAACUCUUAGGAUAGAAAUAUGAGGAAGGAAAUGCUCUAAGAAGAACCCUUCCAGUACUUAAAGGAGGGGGAAUGACUGUUUACAUGUGUUGAUAGUGAUAGGACAAGUGGGAAUGGUUUAAAUUUUAAUCUGGUACCUUUUGCUCAAGAACUCUGCUGCUCAGUUCCAACAAUACCAAAUGUAAAAGUGAGGAAAGAUCACAAGGAAGAUCCUUAUUAAAACCACAACAAAUAAAUUAUAGUUCUCUCUUAUAGAAACUUGGUCACAGGCCCUUUGUGAGGAUUCUGUUUCCACUGAAGCCAAAUAGCUUUGGCUAAAUUUUUCACUGGCUAAGACACAUUACAAUUUACAUGUGAAUUAAUGUAAACCAUAUUAGUUUCAGCAAGUAAACUAUAGUUUUCAAUUUGAUCUUCAUUUCUGUCUCUGAUGCUAUAAGCUGAAAUUUAUUUUGUCAUUUCAGAAGAGUGUUUUCCUGGGGAUAUAAAAUAAGGACCCCAGUAGAAAAUUAUGCAAAUAAAUAGUUCAUCUGGCCUGGACUCACUUCAUAAUUGGGCCAACAUUCUUCAUAUGAAAGACAGUGCAUUAGUUCAACUGACUGAGAAGCUGUUUCACUUUUAUGGCAGUGUUGUACAAUCCCCAUAUUGGCUACUCAUUCAACAGUUUUCUCCAGUACAUUUCCUCAGUUGCACAAGGGAACCACUGUGAACAAUAUAAAACAACAAAUUAUAUUAUUUUAUGGAUACAGAUGUUUCUAAGCUCAUUUCAUCUAUAAAAAUUGAACAUUCUUUCUAUUCUUAAAAAAAUAAAUAAAUAGUUUAUUGCUUGUGCAUGGAAUUGGACAUUUUUUCAGGUUUUAGGAUAUCUGAUAAAAAGAGAUAUAAUCUGUCUUCUGUUAAUAAUAUUGAG